UUGAUGACGGUGGUGUUCUUGCUCUAACCAAAUUCCACCCCCUCGAUCCCAAGUCAGAUUCAGGUUCGCUUUUCAUCAGUCAGAUGACAAAUAUUCCUGUUUGGUUGACGGUGGUGAUCAAGGGGUGGAAUUAGUUCAUGCGUACAAUUUAUUAGCACAGCACCACACCAGAGUACUUAUGGCGACGAUGAUGACGAAGCAAGCUGACUUCUACUUCCGGCAUACUGUUGGCUGAUGCUUCGUACAGCAGCAAUGCGUACUCGACCUCCGAUUCGAAUUUUGAUCAUUGCACAGAGCUGGCUCCAAUAACUUGGAUACUCACGAACACAAUAGCCUCUGCCGAUCGUUUUUGUGGCCGGCCAUAAACGCUAUGGGCGCAAACAAAAUCAAUUGGACACAAUAGCCUCUGCCACAGGUGCUUGCUGUUUGCUUUAUUACUAAAUUCAUUCAUGGUAUGCAGGGUACAUGCAUAUAUGAAUCCAUACUUGGAUGGUUGGACUGUUGACAGAAUAGGUUUGUAUGUGAAAAUAACAUUAAGCAUUAGAGCAUUAUACUUAUUCAGAUUUGGUCAGAACAUACAUAUACCAGCUAGGCCAAUUGCUUUCUUCAUGCUACUGUUAGCACGAACUGAUGUAGCAAUAUUCUAAAGGAAUGUAAGAAGUGUCUUGCUUGACAUCCUCUUUUUGUUACAAGGAAAAGUGGUUAUUGAUGUAAACUUGGCAUCAAGACUAUUUAAGUAUAUUUAGUUCAGGGGAUGUUAAAUAUAUUGCUAUUUGUGAUUUAAGUACAGUAUCUUUUUUGCUAAGGUUCUCUUUGUGGUUUUUCAUGUAGCAAUGGCAUGGUUCAUUAAAUCUUUGGCACACAAUGAAGUGUUUAGGAAACUCGAUCCAGUAAAGCGGAGUGUUAAUUUAUCUAAAUACGUCCAGUAAGUUCAUGAUGUAGCAAAACUUACAUGGUAAUGCCCAAUCUUUUGCAUUGCAUAUGUUAGAUAAGGAGACUCACAUAAUAUGAAGGAAAUUACACCAUAAAGUUUGUCAUGAUAGUAUACUUUAUCAGCAUUAUUUUCAUAUAUACAUUAUUAUAUGCUAGACAUUUUUGUUCAGCUAACUGAGAAAAACAUCAACUGAGAAGACUACAUAACUCAAUAGUUAAUCCAGUGUUUAUCCAACAGAAAAAAUAGGCCACCUGUAGAAGUAGACUCGUUACAGAAUCUUUCCAACAAUCUGACAAGUACAUCAUGUAUCUAACUCAGCCAAGUAAAUUACACACUCAUAUCUUGGGUUUUAGGUACAUUUAUGUUUAAAAUCGAGGCAACAAUAGCUAACCCAGUAUUUAAUCUCUUUUAUCAAAUUGUGCAGAAGCAUUCUACUCCCUCCGGUCCUUUUUACUCUGCACGUUGGAUUUGCUGAAAGUCAAACUUUGCUAAGUUUGACCAAAUUUAUAUUAGAAAUUAUUAGCAUUUAUAAUAUCUAAUAAGUAUAAUAUGAAAAUAUAUUCCAAGAUGAAUCUAAUGAUAUUGGGGUUGUUAUGUGAAUGUCUACAAUUUUUUAUAUAAACUUGGUCAAAGUUGGAUGAGAUUGACUUCAGACAAACCUAAUAUGCAGAGUAAAAAGGAUUGGAGAGAGUAUAUAGGUUUAUCUGUACCAUAGCUGAUAUAUUAAAGUGAGUAGCUUGAACUACAUCACUUGUAAAGACUCCCUAAAUUAUAGACAUAUCCAAAACAAACUGCAGUACUCCUUCCUUCCCUAUAGUAUUUUAUAAGUAUAUAGUAUCAUAAAUGCUUCUUACCGAUUUAAUCAAUUCGUUUGAUGUGCUUUAGUAAUAGCUGAAAGUUUUGGUGUCACCUCUAUUGUAAGGGGAGAAAGAACUAUAGGUCAAAGCCUCCUCAUAUCUGAUGCUGAUAUAUUUAGCUUUAGAAUUAUGGAUUUAGAUGUCUUCCUGAUUCCCCUCCUCUUUCAGUGCCCUACUUUUAGAGCUUCUCUUCUUUGUUUGUGCAGAUUUUGUUUCUCUAUGUCUUCCUGAUUCCCCCCUAUUUCAGUGCUCUACUUUUAGAGCUUCUCUUCUUUGUUUGUGCAGAUUUUGUUUCUCUAAGCCUACAAGACGAUCGCAGAAAAUCCAAGAAGAUUGACAUGAGUGACCCCGGACCCGGAGGCUGUACCAAUCAUGUUUAUAGCACUACAAACUUGGAAUACGUCCAGUAUUUAUUAUCUUGGUAAUUCACUGCACAUGAAGAAAGGACAACCGUUCAUGGACCCAUCCCAAGAGGUAUCGAUCUGCAGAAACUUACAUCUGGGUGUUUGUCCUGAACAUAUAUGCAUAGGAGGUGAUGGUUACAUUUAAGGUAGAGAGAUUCUUAGAGCUAUGCACUUGUUCACAAAAGCUGAGAAAAGUCAGGCGAUAUUCUCUAUCUUGUCACAGCUGUGAUGAUUUUGCUUAGGAAUUUUUUGUUAAUUGACAUACAUUUUUGUUAAUUCAUAGGCACUUUUGUAUGUUGUUCAUUAUGAUAAUUUUGCUUAGGAAGUUUGGAAUGAAAGUUCUGGCACUUUCAAUAUUCACUGUAUUCAUAAUCGGAAAGUAUUUAGUCUACACGUACUGUUCAUGUUCAUGGUGAUAUAUUGUAAAUAUUAGUGCUUAGUUCAUGUCCUUGAUGAACUUUUUUGAAUUUUUGGUCCUGGUGGUGGUCGAGCUCAUCUGGUGGUGGUUGUUGCCACUCCUUCUCUCCACGGCGUAGACCUUGUCGUCGAGCUCAUCUUCUAUCCUAAGGUGAUGAUCUUUCUGCAAGUUGCUGCCUGGGUUUAUAGUCCCGUUCGUUUCUUUACAAGACACAGAUGACAGAAAUGCCGCAAUGGGACCAGAGUUCAAAUUAGGAUGAAGAGGUGUUCUUCCAUGGUGGCCAAAGGUGAGGCGCUUCUCCGGCCAGAUCCAUGGCCACCAUGUUGCCAUCGACGUCCACCGUCCUUGACAGAUCGAUCGAGCGUGCAUCAUUGAGCUGCAUGGCUUCCCCCAUCACUGAGCUGCAUGGCUUCCCCAUCUCCCAGUUAUCAGAGGAUGUCAUGUAACCUUUAAGAAUACAUUCUCUAAGCGUGUUGAUUUUGCACAUCUAUAUCUUAAAGUUUUACAUACUUGCACGUACCAGUACUAAAUA
Molecule: non-coding RNA, 3145 nt
Organism: Triticum urartu
Lineage: Eukaryota; Viridiplantae; Streptophyta; Magnoliopsida; Poales; Poaceae
Source: RefSeq, a predicted model, not a curated record